UGCGUAGGCGUUCGGGUAAGUCUGACGUGAAAUCUUCAAGCUUAACUUGGAAACUGCGUCGGAUACUAUUCGGCUAGAGGAAUGGAGGGGAGACUGGAAUACUUGGUGUAGCAGUGAAAUGCGUAGAUAUCAAGUGGAACACCAGUGGCGAAGGCGAGUCUCUGGACAUUUCCUGACGCUGAGGCAAGCCAGGGGAGCGAAACG
RNAcentral lists this ribosomal RNA (204 nucleotides) under uncultured bacterium. RNAcentral describes it as "partial 16S ribosomal RNA". It matches the Rfam family "Bacterial small subunit ribosomal RNA", at positions 568 to 775 of the family's 1533-position model. The record is from RNAcentral.